CAUGUAGGCGGCUCGUCAAGUCUGAUGUGAAAGCCCCGGGCUCAACCCGGGAAGUGCAUUGGAAACUGGCGAACUUGAGUACGGGAGAGGAAAGUGGAAUUUCGAGUGUAGGGGUGAAAUCCGUAGAUAUUCGAAGGAACACCAGUGGCGAAGGCGGCUUUCUGGACCGAUACUGACGCUGAGAUGCGAAAGCGUGGGGAGCAAACA
This 207-nucleotide ribosomal RNA is filed under the name uncultured bacterium. RNAcentral describes it as "partial 16S ribosomal RNA". It matches the Rfam family "Bacterial small subunit ribosomal RNA", at positions 568 to 774 of the family's 1533-position model. The record is from RNAcentral.